Non-coding RNA from Protopterus annectens (West African lungfish), 82 nucleotides. The record is from the annotation of a RefSeq genome assembly. Lineage: Eukaryota; Metazoa; Chordata; Ceratodontiformes; Protopteridae.
GUAAUCGUGGCCGAGUGGUUAAGGCUAUGGACUUAAAAUCCAUUGGGGUUUCCCUGCACAAGUUAGAAUCCUGUUGAUUAUG